GGCCCUAUAGUUCAACUGAAUAGAAUAUCAGAUUUCGGCUCUGACGGUUGCAGGUUUGAAUCCUGCUAGGGUCA
RNAcentral lists this transfer RNA (74 nucleotides) under Polaribacter sp. SA4-12. It matches the Rfam family "tRNA". From Rfam's summary of the family: Transfer RNA (tRNA) molecules are approximately 80 nucleotides in length. Their secondary structure includes four short double-helical elements and three loops (D, anti-codon, and T loops). Lineage: Bacteria; Pseudomonadati; Bacteroidota; Flavobacteriia; Flavobacteriales; Flavobacteriaceae. The record is from Rfam by way of RNAcentral.